RNAcentral lists this ribosomal RNA (497 nucleotides) under uncultured bacterium. RNAcentral describes it as "partial 16S ribosomal RNA". It matches the Rfam family "Bacterial small subunit ribosomal RNA", at positions 28 to 507 of the family's 1533-position model. The record is from RNAcentral.
GAUGAACGCUGGCGGCGUGCCUAAUACAUGCAAGUCGAGCGAACGGACGAGAAGCUUGCUUCUCUGAUGUUAGCGGCGGACGGGUGAGUAAAACGUGGAUAACCUACCUAUAAGACUGGGAUAACUUCGGGAACCCGGAGCUAAUACCGGAUAAUAUUUUGAACCGCAUGGUUCAAAAGUGAAAGACGGUCUUGCUGACACUUAUAGAUGGAUCCGCCCUGCAUUAGCUAGUUGGUAAGGUAACGGCUUACCAAGCGAACGAUGCAGAGCCGACCUGAGAGCGUGAUCGGCCACACUGGAACUGAGACCCGGUACCGACUCCUAAGGGAGGCAGCAGUAGGGAAUCUUCCGCAAUGGGCGAAAGCCUGACGGCACAAAGCCGCGUGAUUGAUGAAGCGAUUCGGAUCGUAAAACUCUGUUAUUAGGGAAGAACAUUUGUCUAAGGAACUGUGCACAUCUUGACGGUCCCUAAUCAGAAAGCCACGGCUAACUACGUG